UGCAGCCUUUGGGAGAUAAUUGGGUCAUGAGUGUGGAGCUCUCGUGAAUGAGAUUAGUGCCCUUAGAAGAAGAGACAGGAGAGCUUGCUCUGGCUUUCUGCUCUCUACCAGGUGAGGACCAGCUGGCUGUCUAUGAAGCAGGUAGCAGGCUCCCACCAGACACCGAAUCUACCAGCCCCUUGAUCUUGAACUUCUCAGCCUCCAGAACUACUCUACUAUUCCCUCAGUACGUCAAAUAGGCAAGAAACAGAAUUGCAGCCAGUGGUGAGCAGGGAGCAGAGCCCAUCAGUCUGCUGCGCCAUGCCAAAUCACCUUCAGGGUCAGCGUUUCAACCACCAAGGCAGCUCCAUCAGUAUUAGAAAACAUUUCCGUUUCUGAAAGAAUUCUGCAACUAAAUAGCUACAUAAAGGUUCGUAAACCACUGAAGCACACGUCAUGAG
Balaenoptera ricei (Rice's whale) is the source of this 440-nucleotide long non-coding RNA. RefSeq lists it as uncharacterized. The record is from RefSeq and is a predicted model, not a curated record. The transcript has 3 exons. NCBI's taxonomy places the organism in Eukaryota, Metazoa, Chordata, Mammalia, Artiodactyla, Balaenopteridae.